AGCGUGCCUGCCAAAUUUCGUUGCAUUCGGAGUUUGCUUGAUACCCGAACGGUCGACCGUAGAGGCACCGUCAUCGGUUUAUUGUCGUACGUUUUUUCGGUGUUUUUAAAAUAUUAUGUCGGGCCGCAAACCUGCCUCUCUUUUUAGCCCACCACCUCUCGACACUGCCCACUAGUUUAGCCUAGCCCCUACCCAUCGCUGGAGCCAUCCAGUCGCGAUCCUACGAUCCAAAUUCGGACGAAAUC
Molecule: long non-coding RNA, 245 nt
Filed under: Hordeum vulgare
Lineage: Eukaryota; Viridiplantae; Streptophyta; Magnoliopsida; Poales; Poaceae
Description: long non-coding RNA (HVUL_LNC015882)
Source: RNAcentral